UGUGGACGGUUCACGAGUGAGAAUGCAGGCAUGAGUAGCGAUACACACGUGAGAAACGUGUGCGCCGAUUGACUAAGGGUUCCUGGGUCAAGCUGAUCUGCCCAGGGUAAGUCGGGACCUAAGGCGAGGCCGACAGGCGUAGUCGAUGGACAACCGGUUGAUAUUCCGGUACCCGCUUUGAAACGCCCAGUACUGAAUCAGGCGAUGCUAAGUCCGUGAAGCCGGCCCGAUCUCUUCGGAGUUGAGGGUAGUGGUGGAGCCGAUGAACCAGACUUGUAGUAGGUAAGCGAUGGGGUGACGCAGGAAGGUAGUCCAGCCCGGGCGGUGGUUGUCCCGGGGUAAGGGUGUAGCCCGUGUGGUAGGUAAAUCCGUCACACGUUAAGGGUGAGACCUGAUGCCGAGCCGAUUGUGGUGAAGUGGAUGAUCCUAUGCUGUCGAGAAAAGCCUCUAGCGAGUUUCAUGGCGGCCCGUACCCUAAACCGACUCAGGUGGUCAGGUAGAGAAUACCGAGGCGUUCGGGUGAACUAUGGUUAAGGAACUCGGCAAAAUGCCCCCGUAACUUCGGGAGAAGGGGGGCCAUCACUGGUGAGAGCACUUGCUGCUUGAGCUGGGGGUGGCCGCAGAGACCAGCGAGAAGCGACUGUUUACUAAAAACACAGGUCCGUGCGAAGCCGUAAGGCGAUGUAUACGGACUGACGCCUGCCCGGUGCUGGAACGUUAAGGGGACCGGUUAGCUGACUUUCGGGUUGGCGAAGCUGAGAACUUAAGCGCCAGUAAACGGCGGUGGUAACUAUAACCAUCCUAAGGUAGCGAAAUUCCUUGUCGGGUAAGUUCCGACCUGCACGAAUGGCGUAACGACUUCUCGACUGUCUCAACCAUAGGCCCGGUGAAAUUGCACUACGAGUAAAGAUGCUCGUUUCGCGCAGCAGGACGGAAAGACCCCGGGACCUUUACUACAGUUUGAUAUUGGUGUUCGGUUCGGCUUGUGUAGGAUAGGUGGGAGACUUUGAAGCGGCCACGCCAGUGGUUGUGGAGUCGUCGUUGAAAUACCACUCUGGUCGUGCUGGAUGUCUAACCUGGGUCCGUGAUCCGGAUCAGGGACAGUGUCUGAUGGGUAGUUUAACUGGGGCGGUUGCCUCCUAAAGAGUAACGGAGGCGCCCAAAGGUUCCCUCAGCCUGGUUGGCAAUCAGGUGUUGAGUGUAAGUGCACAAGGGAGCUUGACUGUGAGACCGACGGGUCGAGCAGGGACGAAAGUCGGGACUAGUGAUCCGGCAGUGGCUUGUGGAAGCGCUGUCGCUCAACGGAUAAAAGGUACCCCGGGGAUAACAGGCUGAUCUUCCCCAAGAGUCCAUAUCGACGGGAUGGUUUGGCACCUCGAUGUCGGCUCGUCGCAUCCUGGGGCUGGAGUCGGUCCCAAGGGUUGGGCUGUUCGCCCAUUAAAGCGGUACGCGAGCUGGGUUUAGAACGUCGUGAGACAGUUCGGUCCCUAUCCGCUGUGCGCGUAGGAAUAUUGAGAAGGGCUGUCCCUAGUACGAGAGGACCGGGACGGACGAACCUCUGGUGUGCCAGUUGUCCUGCCAAGGGCAUGGCUGGUUGGCUACGUUCGGAAAGGAUAACCGCUGAAAGCAUCUAAGCGGGAAGCCUGCUUCGAGAUGAGUAUUCCCACCCUCUUGAGGGGUUAAGGCUCCCAGUAGACGACUGGGUUGAUAGGCCAGAUGUGGAAGCCCGGUAACGGGUGGAGCUGACUGGUACUAAUAGGCCGAGGGCUUGUCCUCAGUUG
RNAcentral lists this ribosomal RNA (1781 nucleotides) under Streptomyces sp. WZ.A104. RNAcentral's name for it is "bacterial LSU rRNA". It matches the Rfam family "Bacterial large subunit ribosomal RNA", at positions 1272 to 2925 of the family's 2925-position model. The record is from RNAcentral. Lineage: Bacteria; Bacillati; Actinomycetota; Actinomycetes; Kitasatosporales; Streptomycetaceae.